Non-coding RNA from Doryrhamphus excisus (bluestripe pipefish), 5805 nucleotides. Lineage: Eukaryota; Metazoa; Chordata; Actinopteri; Syngnathiformes; Syngnathidae. The record is from RefSeq and is a predicted model, not a curated record.
UACGCCGAUUACAGCAGGCGGUCUGGGUUCAACUACUAAGCAGGCCCGACCCUGUUUUGACACAAUAAUGGUUUUGACUGUUUGCUUGUGUCAACUUUGUGCUGACAUGCUCACACAAUAUUUCGUCAGUGGGAGAAAAAAACAAUGCGUUAGCAUCGCCAGCAUUCACACGCAAAUUCUCCAGAAAUUGCACACAGCUCUUUCCGUGUGGUGUUUUUAUGGCUGUUUGGCGACACCUGGUGGAUGCAAUCAUCAUUGAAAGCUUUUCAACAGGUCUUGAGUUGGACGCCUUGGUUACCGGAUACUUUCUAACAAGCUUCUGUCUGAUGCGGCCGCAUCUCCAUGGGAGGCUGGAAUAAUGGAGGGAAAUGGAAAAAGGCGGGAGGGACAACAGGAAAGAUAAAAGUUGAGCAGAAACCUGGCUGCCUUCCGUGGCGGUGUCGUCGGCAUCAGCUAGAGGGUGAAAGGUGAGGAAGUGAGGACAGAGCGAGGGAAGAUGGCGCAUGUAGAAGACCACAAGGCGCACAAGGAGGCACGCAGAGGAGGCGAGUACUUGCUUUUUAAAGGUGAGUCGGAGGUCGGCUCCCGGGCGGAGGCUUUGCGUCGAGACAGAGACGAGCAGAUAGAAUGCACAAGGAGACGACAGCAGCCUCUGUUUCUCGGCGUUGGCCUCAUCCCAGUGCCCGUCCUCCAUCAGCCUUUGGUCGGGCCGCCGUCGGCUGUCGGUGGGCGCCACGCCCUCCUCGGGCUCGUUGAGCGUGAGGGCCAGCGAGGAGAAGAAGUACAUGGUCUCCGCUCCCUCCCUGCGGUAAGACACCGGCUGAUUAUACGACCACGUGUUCCCCUUCAGCUUUGCCGCAAGCUAACGUACGGCAGCGGGUUCUUCCUCCAGAUUUCUUUGGCUUUGAGGGUCUGGUAGACGGUUCUCUGUUUGCCCUCGCCGCCGUUCUCGCUCUUGCUGCUCUGCAUGAUCCUGGAGAAUUCCAUCUUCUCGUCCCAGGUGCCCGACAGCACGUAAUGCGCCUUUCCGUCCUUGUCGGUCACCACGCCCGUCACCUAGGAGACGGAACUCAGCAUUUACGCUAGCAAGCGACUGUAGUAGUAAGAGCGACUCAUAAAACUCUUCAAAGUCAUUACUUGCUUACAUAGUACUAUAAAACAUUAAAUAUAUACAUAUAAAUAUAAAAGUAAGCAAUAUCAAAUACCAAAAUAUUAAAAAACACAAUGUAUGUAUAUUUAUACGGCAAUGUAGGCUUUUGUACAUGAAAAAUAGCUGUUAAGAGUGUAUAAAGUAUCUCUCCCAUCCAUGGUUUACUUGAUGAUAACCAACAUCUCCUAAGUUCUCCCAUCAGCACCUUUUAGCAUUCUGUGUUGCCGUGCUGAUCGUAUUGUUCAGGUAAGGUACUAGUAGUACUAACCAUCCAUUCCUAUGAACAAGGCUGUGUUGUAUUGUUCAGGUGAGGUACUAGUAGUGCUAGCAAGCCAUUGAUGGCAGAAUGAGAUGGUGUGCGACUGACCUUUCGUGGCACGUCUCUGGAGAAGUAACUGUAGGGAGCGAACUUGAGGUGGCAGUGGUCCCCCGUCUUGUGGUUGAUCACGUCGAUCUCCCCUGACUAAAGAGAGAAAAGCAGUACUUUCUGUCACCCUGCACAGAGAGCUACGUCUUUUAUCACUGUAGAGCUUGUACGAUAUGUACCUGGUCGAUCCAUAACUUGCCCACGAUAAUAUUGUGUAUUGUGGUGGUGACUUUCUUCCAGGAGUAAUGGUUGUUGCUCUUGGCAAACGUGCAGUGGAUGGAACCUAAGCAGAGAUGCCAUGACCGUACCAACCCACAUGCAGAAGAUAAGGUAUAUAUAUAUAUAUAUAUAUACUCACCCAGCGGCAUGAUGGACAAAUAUUUUCCUCGAAACUUGCUGGCCAAGGUGAUUUCUUGUCCCAGAGUCCAGCCUUUUGCAGAGAAGGCGUGGUGGGCUGCAGCGGGGGGGUGGUGGCUGACCUGACAGGUGAAACAUUCAUUUUAGUUGACAAUUUGCUGGAUUUUUCAGGGAAUAAUACUACAUCACGCUUCCAGCAUCACUCUAUCAAUGAUUCAUUAAUCCUGGUUGAAUAUGGCCUAUUAUUAGUAAAAAAAAACAACACACAUAAUGAAGCAUAAAGUUAGGUGUAGCGUGUUAAGAUGUGUUUGUUUGGGCCGUACCUGCUCGCAGAGGGAGCGGUAGCCACACUCCCUCAGGCGAUCCAGCUCAAAGGUUUCUCCCAGCAGAGGGUUGAAGGGUUUCCCGGUGCGGUGGACGGUGGUGGAGUAGGAGGAAACGGUGAAGGCCGCCACGUAGCACAUCUGCUCCAGAGAGCUCUGGCACUUUGCCGCCUUGUCCAGCAACUCGUAGUACUCCAGGUCCUCGGACAGACGUUGCAACAUGGAGAGAGGCUCAUUGAAGUUCACCUGGAGACGAGACAGCGUGGUGCUGAAGCUCCUGCGCCUACAAGAACAGCGCAAAGGUGUCUUACAGGCAUUGGGAUCUUUGAGAGCUCUUUUCCAAUGCAGUUCUUCAUGAUGCUCCACAGGUUGAGGUAAUAGUUGGGCUUGUCGGGGAUACGAGUCCGCCUUUGUCUGACGGGCUCCAGGGACUGCAGGGACUCUGGGCUGGAGGCCAUGGACAACUCAUCAAACUGAUGGAGGAGAAGGAGUUACUACACCAGGAGGUACAAAAACAAAGGCUUUAUUUGCUGUGGGUGGAAAUUGAAAGAACACACGUUGACUGACUGGUCGUCCAUUCCGGUCUCGUUGCUGAAUCCGCUUACAUUGCUGCCGGAUCUCCUGUGGAAUGAAAACACAAUUAGCUGGCGAGGUGCCUUUCAGUGUUGGGGACAUGAUAGGUAUUUAGAAGAACAAAACACCCAAUGGAACAGCAUGCAGGGAUUUCAGUCAUGCCUACUGGUGGUGGUAAAGUAUAUCCGUAGACACAGCUGCCCUGGGGCAGACUGAUGGAAAUUUGCUUGUGAAUUCACACCUAUGGCCUCAGUUAGAAAUCCUCCAGUUUUUGCAUGUUUAAUGCUAGUGGCGACUUGUCACACUUUGUUUUGACAGUCCUCAAACACACCAUCUACCUUUCUCCCACGCUGCGCAGGUAAGACUGUGCUGUAUUUCCCCUUUUUCUUUCCCCUCAUAUUUGCUCCCAAAUGCUGAUACUACAUGGUGACCUUGCUGAGUGCUAAUGUGUAUAUCUGUUGGGCUGGUACUGGUGGUAGUACUUCAUUUGCUGUCGUUCCUGUCAUAGUUGUACACAAUAUAUCAGGUAGAUGUCUAUAAGGUAAGUAUGCUUGCUCUUCUUUUCAUUGGGCUUUUCCCUCCAAGGGUCGCCACAGCAAACCAGUCUCCUCCAUCCAACCCUGUCUUCUGCACCAACUACCCUCAUGUCCUCCUUCACUACAUCCAUAAAGCUCCUCUUUGGUCUUCCUAAACGCCUCCUACCUGGCAGCAUCCUUCUACAAAUAUAAGUGUGCUUUGCUCAUGUGUUGGACAUCUCUCCUGGUGCUGUUGCGACAGUAGAUCCAAAUAACUUGGCUCUUACGGAGAGAGACAUCUUCAGGGCUUUGAAGCUAAAAGUACCAAUGAAAAUUCUCAACAUUCUGGGUUCCACAUCCACCUCUGUGUGGGCCCACGGUGCGUCAAACACAGCAAAGUGAAAGGGAAUUUUCCAGGAGCAUGUUAACUUUGCCAGCCCUAACAUAUAUUUAUUUCCUAAUGAUUCCGACUGGCCCACGGUGCCUGGACAAAGAUAAGUGAUAAUUGAGGGACCCCUUCCCUAGACUGUGACAAAGCUGUAGGAGGUGCUGUGCUUGGGACCUGUGAUAUUUUGGAUCAGCGGGGACUGUAAUGAACUCUGCCGGGUCCUCCAUGGCAUCGAAGAACACAAUGUUGUCAUCCUCGUCACUGGAAUCUCCUUUCCCUGAAAGGGCUCCUGGAAAAACACAGAUGGCGUUUAGACAUGCGCAUGAAAGGUCUUGGAGGAAAUGGAGGAGAAGCGCACCUUUGCUACCUGAGGUGGGGUUGCUGUACGACGACGGGAGCACCGUUGCUCCACGGAAAGCUCUCUCCAAGUGGUUGUGCUGCUUGGCCAGCUGCUCCAGGGUCUCCUCCAGUCUGACCCGCUGGUCCCUCUCCAGCUGCAAGGCCUUCUGCCAGCGCUUGCUGUGGUUCUGGGCCAAGGACAGGAAGUCUCUGCAUGCCUUGGAGAGCGGAAAGGCCGACAGAUCAGAUCCUUGCAUCCUUUUGUGGUUUUUGACACGAGGCGGCGACUUACAUUGAUCAUUGCGUUGGAGGUGAUUCGGAACAGCGUCGCCCGCUCCGUCACUUGUCUCAUCUUCUCACCCAUGUCCCCUCCAGGCUGGAUCCCCUCCAGUUCUGACAAAGACCUGUUUGUGGAAUCAUAUCAUCAUCAAUAAUGAAAUAUUGGGAUUGAUUAGGAUUCUUAUUUAAGUGUGAUUUUCUUAAAGAGAAACCCAUUUUCAUUGGGGGUGUUUUUGUCUUUUUUGUUUAUUAAAAGCCAUUGACAUUCAAUGUUAAAUACUCGUCAGAAAUGAUCAUUAUAUUCAUGGAAAGAUGGUCUCAAAAUCAUGCAAUAACUCAGGGCUCGACAAUAACGAUGUACCGAUGGCCCGGGGCAAGUUAAAACAAAAUUCGGGCAAGUAAAUCUAAUCAUUAAUAUUCCCGUCGGGCAAGUGCACUUUGGCAUGCCAUACUGCCAAGAGUUUUUUUUUUUACAGCGGUUCUUGUUGGGUGUUGGUAAAACAUGGACUACGUAAUUCCGCUGGUAAUUUGCAAACCAAUCCUUGCAAUGGACCAAUCAGAAUCGUUUAUUUAGACCGCGGUCCGUAAUCCACAGUCCGCGUUUUACCCACACCCGUUGUUCGCGAUCAACCAAUCAGCGAUCGUUUGACUAGGAAAACAUCCAUCAUGGCGUCGCUGCCAACAUCGUCUAAUUCUGAAGGAAACAGCAAAAAGUGAUGAAGCAGUGCCUCCUAAACAAGUAUUUUAUUAGCGGCAGCAAAUCAAAUGAUGGCACAGGUGAGUGUAUCACAUUGCUGUGACAAUUUGAAGUGGUCACAAUGAAACACCACCCAUUAGAUCCAAUACCAAGUGCUGAUUUUGCACAAGCUACAAAAUCUAGCGUUUCCAUUUCUCUGUGUAUUUUUCUCACCUUUGCUUCACAAAUUGUUGUUUGACCAUUGAGCAUUUUUUUCUGGAUUAAAAACACUUUACUAGUACACAAAUGUGUCUAUUCAAUAAUGUUUCAUUGUGGUGCGCAACUUAUAAAUAUCACUGCUUACUACGACUACCAUGUGUAAGGUAUUAUUUAUUAUUUUAUUUAUUUGAGAUUCUCAUGUGAUGCCACAAAAAAUUACAUGAUAUCAUUAUGGCAGUCCUUUCAUUUUACAUGGGGCAAGUUCGGGCAAGUAGUUCUCACCUUAAGGAUUCCCUAUGGGCAAGUCAUUUUGGUUUUUAAUGUAGAGCCCUGUAACUUUUUUACUGUCUGACCUGUUAUGCUGAUUGCAUGUCGUUACUGUUGUGGUAUGGGAUGUUCUCUGCGGUCUUAGUAAUAUUGUUCCAGUAAAGUACUGUCAAUGGAGACAAAUUUCCCUCUAUGGACCAAUAAAUCGGAUCGGCACCCGGCUAAAUUGGGAAAUGUAGAAGGCAUACUGAGGACUAGCUACUCAUGAAAAGCUGGUUUGCACGUCCACACAUGAGUUUGGUGUCAUGGCUGAUUAUGCAAAUUAGACAAUGAUGUCAUCUAUCCCCCACAA